AGUCGAACGAUGAACCUCCUUCGGGAGGGGAUUAGUGGCGAACGGGUGAGUAACACGUGGGCAAUCUGCCCUGCACUCUGGGACAAGCCCUGGAAACGGGGUCUAAUACCGGAUACGAGUUUCACAGGCAUCUGUGAUUCUGGAAAGCUCCGGCGGUGCAGGAUGAGCCCGCGGCCUAUCAGCUUGUUGGUGAGGUAACGGCUCACCAAGGCGACGACGGGUAGCCGGCCUGAGAGGGCGACCGGCCACACUGGGACUGAGACACGGCCCAGACUCCUACGGGAGGCAGCAGUGGGGAAUAUUGCACAAUGGGCGCAAGCCUGAUGCAGCGACGCCGCGUGAGGGAUGACGGCCUUCGGGUUGUAAACCUCUUUCAGCAGGGAAGAAGCGAAAGUGACGGUACCUGCAGAAGAAGCGCCGGCUAACUACGUGCCAGCAGCCGCGGUAAUACGUAGGGCGCAAGCGUUGUCCGGAAUUAUUGGGCGUAAAGAGCUCGUAGGCGGCUUGUCGCGUCGGAUGUGAAAGCCCGGGGCUUAACCCCGGGUCUGCAUUCGAUACGGGCAGGCUAGAGUUCGGUAGGGGAGAUCGGAAUUCCUGGUGUAGCGGUGAAAUGCGCAGAUAUCAGGAGGAACACCGGUGGCGAAGGCGGAUCUCUGGGCCGAUACUGACGC
This 671-nucleotide ribosomal RNA is filed under the name Streptomyces sp. YIM 77519. RNAcentral describes it as "bacterial SSU rRNA". It matches the Rfam family "Bacterial small subunit ribosomal RNA", at positions 60 to 746 of the family's 1533-position model. The record is from RNAcentral. Lineage: Bacteria; Bacillati; Actinomycetota; Actinomycetes; Kitasatosporales; Streptomycetaceae.